AGUGAACGCUGGCGGUAGGCCUAACACAUGCAAGUCGAACGGCAACACAGUAAGAGCUUGCUCUUACGGGUGGCGAGUGGCGGACGGGUGAGGAAUACAUCGGAAUCUACUUUUUCGUGGGGGAUAACGUAGGGAAACUUACGCUAAUACCGCAUACGACCUACGGGUGAAAGCAGGGGAUCUUCGGACCUUGCGCGAUUGAAUGAGCCGAUGUCGGAUUAGCUAGUUGGCGGGGUAAAGGCCCACCAAGGCGACGAUCCGUAGCUGGUCUGAGAGGAUGAUCAGCCACACUGGAACUGAGACACGGUCCAGACUCCUACGGGAGGCAGCAGUGGGGAAUAUUGGACAAUGGGCGCAAGCCUGAUCCAGCCAUACCGCGUGGGUGAAGAAGGCCUUCGGGUUGUAAAGCCCUUUUGUUGGGAAAGAAAAGCAGCAGGUUAAUACCCCGCUGUUCUGACGGUACCCAAAGAAUAAGCACCGGCCAACUUCGUG
This 492-nucleotide ribosomal RNA is filed under the name uncultured bacterium. Its description in RNAcentral is "partial 16S ribosomal RNA". It matches the Rfam family "Bacterial small subunit ribosomal RNA", at positions 29 to 507 of the family's 1533-position model. The record is from RNAcentral.